GCGAGAGCGGGGCAGGAGGGCGGGGGGAGACGGAGGGUCCGGGUGUUAGUGGGAAAUAGUGGGCGUAAAGUGGGGGCUGGCGGGUCGGUAACGGAGGGAUGAAAGGCCUGGGGUGAACCUAGGAAUACCCGUUCGAACUGGCGAAUUCGAUUCGUGUAGAGGGAGGUAGAAUUCGAGGUGUAGCGGUGAAAUGCGUAGAGAUCUGGAGGAAUACCGGUGGCGCAGGCGGCCCCCGGGACAAAGACUGUCGCUCAUGCACGAAAGCGUGGGCAGCAAACAGUAUUAGAUACUCGUGUAGUC
This 300-nucleotide ribosomal RNA is filed under the name uncultured Thermotoga sp. Its description in RNAcentral is "bacterial SSU rRNA". The stretch from base 52 to 300 matches the Rfam family "Bacterial small subunit ribosomal RNA", at positions 547 to 795 of the family's 1533-position model. The record is from RNAcentral. Lineage: Bacteria; Thermotogati; Thermotogota; Thermotogae; Thermotogales; Thermotogaceae.